CCCCUAGAUGUUCUGGGCCGCACGCGCGCUGCACUGAACAGUUCAACAAGUCUUAACCUUGGCCGAUAGGUCUGGGUAAUCUCCAAAUUUCGUCGUGAUGGGGAUAGAUUAUUGCAAUUAUUAAUCUUCAACGAGGAAUGCCUAGUAAGCGCAAGUCAUCAGCUUGCGUUGAUUACGUCCCUGCCCUUUGUACACACCGCCCGUCGCUCCUACCGAUUGAAUGGUCCGGUGAAGCGUUCGGACCGUGGCCUUUGGACGGUUCGCCGUCUGUUGGCUGCGGGAAGUUCGUUAAACCUCAUCAUUUAGAGGAAGGAGAAGUCGUAACA
RNAcentral lists this ribosomal RNA (326 nucleotides) under uncultured eukaryote. RNAcentral's name for it is "partial 18S ribosomal RNA". It matches the Rfam family "Eukaryotic small subunit ribosomal RNA", at positions 1470 to 1796 of the family's 1831-position model. The record is from RNAcentral.